GUAAUCCCAUCCCAGCCAUGCAAUUCCCUGCGGCUCCUCCUCCUACUCCUCCGAAUCUAUCGGCGGCAUCGAAUACGCCAGAAUUGUCGCCGGGCAUCUCACCGACGCUCCCACAGCAGUUGUUCCCGCCUCAGUUCGGCGGCGCCCCACCGUUCGACGACCCACCACAGCCAUAAACUUGUUUAUUUCAAUAUUUAUGGACUUGUGAACUUCUGGAUAUGUAUUUGUGAACUUCUGGAUAUUUUGUGAACUUGCAGGACUUUGCAUUGGACUUCUGUA
Molecule: long non-coding RNA, 279 nt
Organism: Panicum virgatum (switchgrass)
Lineage: Eukaryota; Viridiplantae; Streptophyta; Magnoliopsida; Poales; Poaceae
Exons: 2
Source: RefSeq, a predicted model, not a curated record